UGAGUGGCGGACGGGUGAGUAACGCGUGGGCAACCUGGCCUGUACAGGGGGAUAACACUUAGAAAUAGGUGCUAAUACCGCAUAACGGGGGAAGCCGCAUGGCUUUUCCCUGAAAACUCCGGUGGUACAGGAUGGGCCCGCGUCUGAUUAGCCAGUUGGCAGGGUAACGGCCUACCAAAGCGACGAUCAGUAGCCGGCCUGAGAGGGCGGACGGCCACACUGGGAAUGAGACACGGCCCAGACUCCUACGGGAGGCAGCAG
RNAcentral lists this ribosomal RNA (261 nucleotides) under uncultured bacterium. Its description in RNAcentral is "partial 16S ribosomal RNA". It matches the Rfam family "Bacterial small subunit ribosomal RNA", at positions 92 to 354 of the family's 1533-position model. The record is from RNAcentral.